AUUUUAAGUUAUAUUUGUUUUGUUAAUAUUGUAUGUUUUUGUGUUUAAGGUUGUAUGAUUGUAUUUUGAUUGUUAAUUUUAUGAUUUCAUCCGUGAUAUACCUUUCUUUAUUAAUAUUGAUCAAAACCCGUCAUCCCAUAUAAAUCCGUCUAUAUUAUCUCGUUAGCUAAAUUAUUAGUGUUAUAAGAUCCAAGAAAAUAAAUUAUUAUUGUUCUAAUUCCAAUAAUUUAGGAUCUCACCCGUGGUAUACCGUUCCUUGAAUGAUUUAAAAUUUAUAUU
This 279-nucleotide small RNA is filed under the name Arabidopsis thaliana (thale cress). RNAcentral describes it as "ATSL229910". Lineage: Eukaryota; Viridiplantae; Streptophyta; Magnoliopsida; Brassicales; Brassicaceae. The record is from RNAcentral.